This 3115-nucleotide long non-coding RNA is filed under the name Sus scrofa (pig). RNAcentral describes it as "lncRNA (ENSSSCG00035008479.1)". The record is from RNAcentral. Lineage: Eukaryota; Metazoa; Chordata; Mammalia; Artiodactyla; Suidae.
AGCCCAUCGCGUGUGACAGACAAGAAAGUGCUACCGUUAAAAGGCAAACAGUUCUAGAGCCUCCAGCAGCAGCCGCCUUAUAGACACUGCUUAGCCCGGUCCUGCACUUGCUCAGGUCCGGUCUCUGUAACAGAACACACGCGCAUCUCGUGAUGGUGCUUCUCUGAUGGAGCCUUAGCCGAUGCGCAGAAGUAGACAACUGUGUUGGGGCGGAGGAGGUGCCCUGAACUCCAGCUCAGCCCUCCUCCUCCCAAGCCCUUCCAUCCUAGGAUCAACAGGAGCCUGUGACUGACUACAGCAGGAGAGCAGGCGUGGCAUGGAUCCCGUGCAAGCCGGCAGUGGAGACCCAGCGCCUGAGAGUGACGUGGGGAACUAGCAGGAGCUAGAAGUGACUUAGGACGAGCUUUUGUAAAGCUGAGGUGUGAGUAUAAUAUCAGGAUGAUUUGACUGCAAGCAACAGAGAAUCAAACAGAAAUGGCCUAGGGAGUCCCUUCGUGGCUCCCCAGUUAACAAUCUGACUGGAUCAUGAGGAUGCAGGUUCAAUCCCCGGCCUCUAUCAGUGGGUGAAGGAUCUAGUGCUACCAUGAGCUGUGCUGUGGUGUAGGCUGGCAAACGCAGCUCCAGUUGGACGCCUAGCCCGGGAACUUCCAUAUGCUGUGGGUGCAGCCCUAAAAAGCAAAAACAAACAAAAAAAAUGAAACAAAACAAAACAAAAAAUCCACAAAAAAAAUCAGAAAUGGCCUAAACAAAGAAGAAAACGUGUUAUCCCAUACUACAAGAAGUUUGGGGGUUGAGUGGUUAAACGCAUGAUUAGUUUAGAAACUUGACAGCACCACCCAGGACCCAUUUUCCCUAAGGCGGCUGCUGCCCCCCACCCUGUAGGCUUAGCCACCGCAGCAAAGACACCCCCCUUCCCCAACCAGAGCCCUGCGUCAGGACUGGAAGGGGCCUCCUUCCCUCCAUCCCCUUCCAGAACCUCCGCAGAAGACUCCCCUUGACGUCUCAUUCCAUCCCAUACUGGUCACUUGGCAGGGGGAACGGAUUUACCAUGGUGGCCAGAGACAAAUUAAGUCGCCUCUGGAUCAUGAAGAGCCCCCAUCUCUGGAGAACACUUGACCACUCAGUACCCAGCAACUCGGGUACUCCUGGCAAGAAAGAGACAGGUGAUACCCACUGGGUCCUGUCCACAGCGCCUGCCCCCAGCAACCUGUCUACCUGGAAAACUGAGGGGGUGCCACGCGGGUCUGUGUCUUCUCUGUAGUUUGCCCGAGUCUUUCCCAUUAGGUGGAAUCUGAAAAGUACAGCACACCACAACAACAGAAAAGAAACCGGAGUUCCUGUCAUGGCACAGCGGAAAUGAAUCCGUAGGAACCAUGAAGUUGCAGCUUCGAUCCCUGGCCUCCUCAGUGGGCUAAAGAUCUGGCGUUGCCGUGAGCUGUGGUGUAGGUCACAGACACGGCUCGGAUCUGGUGUGGUUAUGGCUGUGGCUGUGGCCAGCAGCAAUUUAAAAAAAGGCAAGAGAUGGUAGUCACAGCGGAGCCAUGUUGCACAUCAUAGCCAUUGUUUCUUUAUCACACAGUUUUUGUUUCCUCUAAUGUUAAUAAUCAACUCCUACCGAUGUUUGUUUCGUUUUCUUUAGACCUGUCACUCAUCGCACCAAGAUUCCCAAUGGAACGAUGAAAAUUCGUUUCAUUUGGCAGAUGUGGCAGGUAAUUCUUGUCUAUCUUGGCCCCAAAAGUCCAGUUGAUUUUCAAUGUGUAAAUUUUGUUUUUCUUUUGUCUUUAUGAACUUGGGGUCAUGCCGAAUACACCGUUUCUUCAUAAGUGACUCUUUUACUAAGUGAUGCCAUGAACCUCCUUGAUGACUGGAGCAGCCUGUGCAAUGAACGCACGAUAUUCUACUGCCUGAACACUCCACAGGCCCUUCAACACGCUUAUGCAUUUUUCAGGUUUUCCACUUUUAUAAACAAUCCUGAGAUUCACACUCUCAAAGCUCAAUUUUGGCUAAUUAUUUCCUAAGAUAAGUUCCAAGUGUAGAAUUACUGAAUCAACUGACAUAUUGGAUGCAUAUGUUCUUUCAGAAAUAGUGCUGAAUUCGAGACAUGUUGCCACUUCUGGGCUGUAUCAUUUGAAACGUGUUCAUCAGUUUUAAGUGUUGUCUAUUGUAAUGCCGACUCUUUUCUGCAGCAGUUCUUUAACAGCGAGGUUGUGUGUGUUUUCAUAUGCCCACUCGAUAUUUGGAUUUUGGAUUUUAUAAACUGACUGCCUGAUUAGAUCCAUUGUUCAUUUCACUCUUAGGCAAUCUAGUCCCUGCUGCCCCUUUACGUAACCGUCCCCACUUGAGUUUGGAAUUGUCGCCUUGUCGGACGUAUUCUUUGCAGUCUGGCUCUUUCAGGCCUUUUCUCCUGCCGUUUUCAUGAUGCAUUUAGCCAUCCACCCAGUCAAGCAUCUCUCUAAGGUUUGUGGAGCACUGUCGCAAUCUUCAAGGAACUCCCGAGCACAGUAGAACAGAGCACCGCCACGGCUCUUCGGGAAUAUACAUCUUAGAAGAGAGGCCAUGUCUGAAACAGAGAAGCAAAACCAAAAUACCAGAUAGGAAGUGUUAGAGAGAGGUUAGAGCUAGCCGCUAUACGAGGGGACAGUGGGGGCGGGAGGCUCCCUUGGAGGCAGCAGUUGAGGACGACGUCUCUGCGGAUGUGACACUUAGUCUAGGACCUCCGAACGACACCAGAGAGCCAGCCAUCGACAGACCACGGUUCCAGGAAGAGGAAACAGCAAAGGCAAAGCUCUGCCUCCCACUGCUUUGAAAUAUAACCAUGCUUGAAGUCUGUAGAUGGAAAGAAGGGAGAGCAGCCCGCUGUCUUCAUGAGAUGGGAAGGCAAUUUUAGGACAGAAAGAGGAAUGGAAAGUAAGGCAGACUGAAAUGAGACUGCUGACAGAAUCAGAGUGCACGUGAAAGGGAACGGGCAUGUCAACACAGAAUUUUCAGCGGCAUCGAAAGUAAACUGAAGAGGCUGCAACCUGGCUGCCGACGCAACGCAGAAGCACUUGCCCCACGUUCCCGUGGUUCCCUCCCUCCCGUGUUCCUUCAUUUCGGUACAUCUGCCUGUCUGCUU